GCACCUGCAAUUGGCUUGGCUGAGUCACUCUUUAAAGAUAUCUCUCCCAUUUGCUGUAAAAUAAUACCCUAAGCAACAAAUUAGGACUUCAGUUAGGAGCCUAAAAUAACUGAGAUGAAAAGGGGCGCUAGCAGGGAGGCUCAAUUCUGCCCUGCUAGAAUGGAGCUGACCACUUUCUCAAGAGAUAGCAAAUACUGGGACUGUAAUCAUUUCACAAGCAGAGUAUAAGGGGAUGUCUUCUGACACCAUUUCACCUUCUCAGCUGCACAAACGUGAAACUAGAAAGAGAUGGAAACAGCAAAGAGUUAUAACUAGCAAGCUUCUACAAUACCCAUAACUACAAUGAAAGUACAACCACAACAGCAAUCCCUCUGGCUGGAAAAAUACCAAGUGUGAUUUGGACAGAGUUCAACACUUCUGCAAACUCUGUAAUAAUAAAAGUUAUCACUAUUGCUUGAAUGAAGAACUCUGUAAGGUCCAAAAAACCACUUCUUUCUCAAACAAUCCUACUCCAUG
Molecule: long non-coding RNA, 516 nt
Organism: Pseudopipra pipra
Lineage: Eukaryota; Metazoa; Chordata; Aves; Passeriformes; Pipridae
Exons: 3
Source: RefSeq, a predicted model, not a curated record